Molecule: ribosomal RNA, 246 nt
Filed under: uncultured Eubacteriales bacterium
Lineage: Bacteria; Bacillati; Bacillota; Clostridia; Eubacteriales
Description: uncultured Clostridiales bacterium partial 16S ribosomal RNA
Rfam family: Bacterial small subunit ribosomal RNA
Source: RNAcentral
CGGAUUAGCGGCGGACGGGUGAGUAACACGUGAGUAACCUGCCUUAGACAUUGGGAUAGCCUCGGGAAACCGGGAUUAAUACCAAAUAAAAUCAUAAUGACACAUGUCAUAACGAUCAAAACUCCGGUGGUCUAAGAUGGACUCGCGUCCCAUUAGCUAGUUGGUAGAGUAAAAGCCUACCAAGGCGACGAUGGGUAGCCGGCCUGAGAGGGUGAACGGCCACAUUGGAACUGAGAAACGGUCCAA